GACGAACGCUGGCGGCGUGCUUAACACAUGCAAGUCGAACGGAAAGGCCCUGCUUGCAGGGUACUCGAGUGGCGAACGGGUGAGUAACACGUGGGUUAUCUGCCCUGCACUUCGGGAUAAGCCUGGGAAACUGGGUCUAAUACCGGAUAGGAGCCAUUUUUAGUGUGAUGGUUGGAAAGUUUUUUCGGUGUAGGAUGAGCUCGCGGCCUAUCAGCUUGUUGGUGGGGUAAUGGCCUACCAAGGCGGCGACGGGUAGCCGGCCUGAGAGGGUGGACAGCCACAUUGGGACUGAGAUACGGCCCAGACUCCUACGGGAGGCAGCAGUGGGGAAUAUUGCACAAUGGGCGCAGGCCUGAUGCAGCGACGCCGCGUGGGGGAUGACGGCCUUCGGGUUGUAAACUCCUUUCGCUAGGGACGAAGCUUUUUGUGACGGUACCUAGAUAAGAAGCACCGGCUAACUACGUG
This 465-nucleotide ribosomal RNA is filed under the name uncultured bacterium. RNAcentral describes it as "partial 16S ribosomal RNA". It matches the Rfam family "Bacterial small subunit ribosomal RNA", at positions 28 to 507 of the family's 1533-position model. The record is from RNAcentral.